GAGAGUGUAGUAUAAUGGUAGUAUAGCGGUCUCCAAAACUGUUGGUGGGUGUUCAAAUCAUCUCGCUCUUG
This 71-nucleotide transfer RNA is filed under the name Laccaria bicolor. RNAcentral describes it as "tRNA-Trp". It matches the Rfam family "tRNA". Rfam says of the family: Transfer RNA (tRNA) molecules are approximately 80 nucleotides in length. Their secondary structure includes four short double-helical elements and three loops (D, anti-codon, and T loops). Further hydrogen bonds mediate the characteristic L-shaped molecular structure. tRNAs have two regions of fundamental functional importance: the anti-codon, which is responsible for specific mRNA codon recognition, and the 3' end, to which the tRNAs corresponding amino acid is attached (by aminoacyl-tRNA synthetases). tRNAs cope with the degeneracy of the genetic code in two manners: having more than one tRNA (with a specific anti-codon) for a particular amino acid; and 'wobble' base-pairing, i.e. permitting non-standard base-pairing at the 3rd anti-codon position. The record is from RNAcentral. RNAcentral also lists the same sequence under 1 other name. Lineage: Eukaryota; Fungi; Basidiomycota; Agaricomycetes; Agaricales; Hydnangiaceae.